RNAcentral lists this ribosomal RNA (430 nucleotides) under uncultured Alphaproteobacteria bacterium. RNAcentral describes it as "bacterial SSU rRNA". It matches the Rfam family "Bacterial small subunit ribosomal RNA", at positions 958 to 1385 of the family's 1533-position model. Lineage: Bacteria; Pseudomonadati; Pseudomonadota; Alphaproteobacteria. The record is from RNAcentral.
AACGCGAAGAACCUUACCAGCCCUUGACAUCCCGGUCGCGGGAACGAGAGAUCGAUCCCUUCAGUUCGGCUGGACCGGAGACAGGUGCUGCAUGGCUGUCGUCAGCUCGUGUCGUGAGAUGUUGGGUUAAGUCCCGCAACGAGCGCAACCCUCGCCCUUAGUUGCCAUCAUUUAGUUGGGCACUCUAAGGGGACUGCCGGUGAUAAGCCGCGAGGAAGGUGGGGAUGACGUCAAGUCCUCAUGGCCCUUACGGGCUGGGCUACACACGUGCUACAAUGGCGGUGACAAUGGGAUGCAGAGGGGCAACCCCGAGCAAAUCUCAAAAAGCCGUCUCAGUUCGGAUUGUGCUCUGCAACUCGAGCACAUGAAGUUGGAAUCGCUAGUAAUCGCAGAUCAGCACGCUGCGGUGAAUACGUUCCCGGGCCUUGUA